AAUGAACGCUGGCGGCGCGCCUAAUACAUGCAAGUCGAGCGAGAAGACGUAGCAAUACGUUUGUAAAGCGGCGAACGGGUGAGGAAUACAUGGGUAACCUACCCUCGAGUGGGGAAUAACUAGCCGAAGGUUAGCUAAUACCGCGUACGCUCCUUGGACUUCGGUUCAGGGAGGAAAGCGAUACCGUGGGUAUCGCGCUCUUGGAUGGGCUCAUGUCCUAUCAGCUUGUUGGCGAGGUAACGGCUCACCAAGGCUUCGACGGGUAGCUGGUCUGAGAGGACGAUCAGCCACACUGGCACUGCGACACGGGCCAGACUCCUACGGGAGGCAGCAGUAAGGAAUAUUGCGCAAUGGGCGAAAGCCUGACGCAGCGACGCCGCGUGGGGGA
This 388-nucleotide ribosomal RNA is filed under the name uncultured bacterium. RNAcentral describes it as "bacterial SSU rRNA". It matches the Rfam family "Bacterial small subunit ribosomal RNA", at positions 29 to 408 of the family's 1533-position model. The record is from RNAcentral.